This 163-nucleotide ribosomal RNA is filed under the name Knautia calycina. RNAcentral describes it as "5.8S ribosomal RNA". It matches the Rfam family "5.8S ribosomal RNA". From Rfam's summary of the family: 5.8S ribosomal RNA (5.8S rRNA) is a component of the large subunit of the eukaryotic ribosome. Lineage: Eukaryota; Viridiplantae; Streptophyta; Magnoliopsida; Dipsacales; Caprifoliaceae. The record is from RNAcentral.
CAAACGACUCUCGGCAACGGAUAUCUCGGCUCUCGCAUCGAUGAAGAACGUAGCGAAAUGCGAUACUUGGUGUGAAUUGCAGAAUCCCGUGAAUCAUCGUCUUUGAACGCAAGUUGCGCCCGAAGCCAUUAGGCCGAGGCGCACGUNUGCCUGGGCGUCACGC